Molecule: long non-coding RNA, 1248 nt
Organism: Osmerus eperlanus (European smelt)
Lineage: Eukaryota; Metazoa; Chordata; Actinopteri; Osmeriformes; Osmeridae
Exons: 2
Source: RefSeq, a predicted model, not a curated record
UGUAGGCUAACUUAAGUUUGGUUAAGUGAAGCCCUCGUGUGUUUUUCUGUUGCUGCAGAUUUACGGCGAUGAAAAACAAUCUGAUCUCGGUAAUCAUGAGUUUUAGCAACGUUUUAACAUGGGAGUGAACUAGUGUUGCACAGUAAACCUGUACUAAAAAGAGACACUUACAUUGCUUCAGUGUUCCUGUGCAUACAUGGGAGACUCUGACAGAACGCUAUCUCUGUAGCAUUCCAUCCAGUCCAGAACCCGGGGUCCUGAAGUCUCGACUUUUACGAUACUCAAACGAUGCGAUGUUAAUAUACCUCUCUGAUCUAACGAGUCUGACUAGCUGUCGUGACCUCUCAGGUGGGAUUUGGCUACGAUGGAGAGAUGGUUGUUCUGCUAAGUUCUCCUGUCUCUGCACAGGAACUGCAGUGAUCGUUAAGGAGCCUAAUGACGAAUCAUGGUCAGAAUUAUGUUGUCCCAUGCUACACCCCUUCACCAAGUUUCAUACAAAUCGGGCUGGUAGUUUUUGCUUAAUCCUGUUCACACACAAACAAACCGACAUUCAAACACUCACACGGGAGAAAUUGCUUGCAUGAUACUUGUGUUUUUCUGUUGCUGCAGAUUUACAUUUUCUCACACUACAUUGUCACCUGGAGUCAGCUCUGUAACCGUGGGCCCAAGUUUUUGUGGAAAUGGCUGAGACCGAUUUCCUCAGUGCCAUGGAGAGAACGACAGUGGGGAUCUAUGUUGUGAAAGACACUGCCAGCAGUGAACCCUCUGAUGUCAGGAUAGUCCUCGAAGGUGUGAUGGUGCUUCAAGAUCUUGAGAAUGUAGCACUUGCUUCUGCAAUGUUGUUUGGGCUCUUAUGCCUUGAACAUGCAGCACCCUACAAAGCUCCGCUACACCUUUGAGGCAUUUCAAAAGAUCAUCAUGGAGCCUCAGCAUCAGACACUUAAUAAUAUGAGCCUGUCAGCUGCAAAAACAGAACUUUUAGUGACACUAACUGACCAUGCACAGUUGCCCUAUAUAACGUUGCAGCCCGGUUCACAGCAAUCUUGCUCAAUGCUGGACCAAUUUUCAUGAAUUAACCACUACAUAGCCUAAAUUUAUAUUGAUUGGCUGUAAAUGUAGCUGUUUUUUAAGUAUGCUUGUUUUUCCACUGUCCAAUUAACAUUUUUAUAUCUAUAAUUUCUUUAAAUUGACUGAUUAAUACUGUAAAUGUGCUGACAUUCCUUUUUGAUUAAAAGUACAUAUUCAGUA